This 24-nucleotide non-coding RNA is filed under the name Arabidopsis thaliana (thale cress). Lineage: Eukaryota; Viridiplantae; Streptophyta; Magnoliopsida; Brassicales; Brassicaceae. The record is from RNAcentral.
UCACACUGAAGGCAAUAGCUGGUC